Molecule: RNA transcript, 1085 nt
Organism: Mandrillus leucophaeus (drill)
Lineage: Eukaryota; Metazoa; Chordata; Mammalia; Primates; Cercopithecidae
Gene name: 40S ribosomal protein S24 pseudogene
Exons: 1
Source: RefSeq, a predicted model, not a curated record
UAAGUCAGUGGAUGGGUGCCUAUAAUUUCUAAGGGAAAUAGAGUGUAAUCCAAAAAUUUUAUAGCCAGCUAAAUUAUCCACCAAUCAAAAUAGGCAAAAGACACUAUGACAUGUUCAACAACUUAGAGAAUACAGUACUUCUGAGCUUUUUUAAUAAAAGCCUUCAUAAUAAAAUUUAGUCAGCCAAGAAAUUAAAAAAUAAGCAACUUGUGAAUUGAAUGACCAUGACAAAAGGCUACUGAUGAGAGGUGAAUCCAUUUAAAAAUAGGACUAUGAUUACAGAACAGAAAGAAAAGGUGGUCAACCUUAACAACAUAAAACAAGCUAGAAAUAACUAGUUUCCAGAGGUAAUGGGAGGGAUUGUAGGAAGUAGAUGUGCUAAUGCCCUUUACUAAGUCAAUCAGCUCUAAAAUUGAAACAUGUGGUUUUAAAUACAUAACCUCUUGUUUAUUUUCCUCCCUAACUACCCAAGGAUCAACUACCAUGAUGAAUGACACAGUAACUAUCUGGACCAGGAAGUUAAUGACCAACCAACCACUCCAGAGGAAACAAAUGGUCACCAAUGUCCUUCAUCCCGGGAAGGCAACAAAAUGUACAGGACCACAAUGGCCGUUAUCUUCAUAUGAAUAUUUGGACUCAGAACCCAUUUUGGUGGUGGUUAAACAAUGGGCUUUGGCAUGCUAUCUGGUUUGGAUUAUGCAAAGAAAAAUGAAUUCAAACAUAGACUUGCAAGACAUGGCUGGCAUGAGAAGAAGACGACCUCAAGAAAACAGCAAAAGGAAUGCAAGGGCAGAAUGAAGUCAAGAGACUACAAAGGCCAACGUCAGUGCUGACAAAAAGCAAAAGCAGUAAAGAUUUCACAAUGACUUUAUCUGCAGUGACUGUACAAAUUUUUCAUGAGAGGCCCAAUCAACUGUAAAGACUUUUACAUAUAUAUAUAUAUAUAAAAACCUUAAUAUUUUUCAUCACCUUUGAUUUCUUAGAUGUUCUAGAAACUGAUUUUUGGUGAGGAAAAACUACAUUUAUCUGAGUUGACCAGUUCCUUCCAUUUCACUUCCAUUUCUUUUUCUUCAGAUAAAUUUACA